Saccoglossus kowalevskii is the source of this 371-nucleotide long non-coding RNA. RefSeq lists it as uncharacterized. The record is from RefSeq and is a predicted model, not a curated record. NCBI's taxonomy places the organism in Eukaryota, Metazoa, Hemichordata, Enteropneusta, Harrimaniidae.
UUAUCAAUCAAGUUGAACAAGAUGAAAUCAAUGGCAAUUGUAUCUCUGUUACUGGUUGUAUUUGCAGUCCUACAGUGUGCGCCUGUAUCUGACGCAUUUGGUGGAUCUUUCGUCCCUCGUGUUGGAGGAGCUGUUGUUUCAGGCGAUGUUUACGAUUUAGAGAAACUUGCCGAACAUUGUGGCAUUCGAAAUGUGCAAACCGUGAAUCACGGCCGGCAAUGAAAUUAGAAACCCAGCAAACGAGGAUGAAGUUACUAAGAUUCAGCAUUUCAGGGAACGAGAAAGCAAUGGAGACACUAAUUUAUGGAUAAUACUAGUUUAGCUAUUGGGAAAUAAUAUCAUUAAUAAAUAAAAUGUGAAUAUAUAAUAAA